AUUGAACGCUGGCGGCAUGCCUUACACAUGCAAGUCGAACGGCAGCACGGGAGCAAUCCUGGUGGCGAGUGGCGAACGGGUGAGUAAUAUAUCGGAACGUGCCCGGUCGUGGGGGAUAACGUAGCGAAAGCUACGCUAAUACCGCAUACGAUCUACGGAUGAAAGCGGGGGAUCGCAAGACCUCGCGCGAUUGGAGCGGCCGAUAUCAGAUUAGGUAGUUGGUGAGGUAAAGGCUCACCAAGCCGACGAUCUGUAGCUGGUCUGAGAGGACGACCAGCCACACUGGGACUGAGACACGGCCCAGACUCCUACGGGAGGCAGCAGUGGGGGAAUUUUGGACAAUGGGCGGCAAGCCUGAUCCAGCAAUGCCGCGUGCAGGAUGAAGGCCU
Molecule: ribosomal RNA, 389 nt
Filed under: uncultured bacterium
Lineage: Bacteria
Description: bacterial SSU rRNA
Rfam family: Bacterial small subunit ribosomal RNA
Source: RNAcentral